CUACGGGCCGCUGCAGUGAGGAAUAUUGCACAAUGGAGGAAACUCUGAUGCAGCAACGCCGCGUGGAGGAUGACGCAUUUCGGUGUGUAAACUCCUUUUAUAUGUCAAGAAAAUGACGGUAGCAUAUGAAUAAGCACCGGCUAACUCCGUGCCAGCAGCCGCGGUAAUACGGAGGGUGCAAGCGUUACGCGGAAUCACUGGGCGUAAAGGACGCGUAGGCGGGAUAUCAAGUCAGGUGUGAAAUCCUACAGCUUAACUGUAGAACUGCACUUGAAACUGGUAACCUAGAGUAUGGGAGGGGGAGAUGGAAUUAGUGGUGUAGGGGUAAAAUCCGUAGAUAUCACUAGGAAUACCUAAAGCGAAGGCGAUCUCCUGGAACAUAACUGACGCUAAGGCGUGAAAGCGUGGGGAGCAAACAGGAUUAGAUACCCUCGUAGUC
This 439-nucleotide ribosomal RNA is filed under the name uncultured bacterium. RNAcentral describes it as "partial 16S ribosomal RNA". It matches the Rfam family "Bacterial small subunit ribosomal RNA", at positions 339 to 795 of the family's 1533-position model. The record is from RNAcentral.